CUAUGGUCAAGCACACACUAACAUCCAUAAACCUCAUUACAUGACUAUACUGUACUUUUACAUUACAAUUUGAUCAUGUCCAUUGCUAGCUAUUACAUAAGCAUGACUUCUUUACUCUAUCCGGACUCCCGCACUAUACUGUACCUGCAAGCCUGGGGGUAAAGGGAGAGGGGUGAGCUAAAAGCCCAGUGAGCUGAACUAUUAAAACACAUAAAUACUAUGCUCUAUGAAAUGCAUCAUAACACAAACAAUUCACAUAAGGGUUGGGUGAACUUGUCACCAAUUAGUCCAAGCUAACAUAGUGCCAGGCCGUAGCAUGGGGUCCUGGUCUUCCUGUCAUACAUACAUUACUUACCAUUAUUCCAGGGCCUCCUCUGGGCUCCUGGUCUUCGAGUCCACAAUCGUGCCAGGCCGUAGAAUGGGGUCCUGGUCUUUCAUUUCCGUGCCAGGCCGUAGAAUGGGGUCCUGGUCUUCCUGUCAUGGACUAAUUGGGUCAUCCAACAUUCACCCACAUCAACAAAAUAUGAUGCAAUGCGACAUAUUCGUGAAACUAAUGCAAUCACCCUAUUGCAUGAUCAUGAUGCAUGAAACAUGAUAAAUCAUUUAAUUUAAAAGAUUAAGUUUAGUUCCACUCACCUCUGGCUGACUCUGACAACACCGAAGCAGCUGAACUCACUGCUGGGGUCCUCGGUUCCUCGGGUC
This 702-nucleotide long non-coding RNA is filed under the name Manihot esculenta (cassava). Its description in RNAcentral is "long non-coding RNA (MESC_LNC001713)". The record is from RNAcentral. Lineage: Eukaryota; Viridiplantae; Streptophyta; Magnoliopsida; Malpighiales; Euphorbiaceae.